UUAUGAUUAGCUGAAGUCCAAUUCUCAUAUUUUGAAGAGUCUCCAAGUGGAAUCUAGAAAAAUAAUUAAACAAAUAAAAUAAAAGCAACGGUGAUUAUUGAUUAAAAUUGUGUUAAUCGUGAUUAUAAUUUUUUUUAAUCAUGUAAGCGCGUUUCGGAUGUACCUUGGAUCUACAUGACAUGUCUUUGCCCAUAUCCAUAUAGUUUAGGAAAUGGUGGAAUUUAAAGAUUUAUUAUCUUAUAAGAAAUGAAUAAAUUGAGGAUUUUAUUACUGAACAAAAGGGGGGAAGACCAAUGAACAUAAGUAUUAAAAAACUUUUUGUAUUUAAAAUAACAACAUCUGUGAAUAUUUAGUCAAGUGAUAUUUUAGAAGUUUCAUUAGAUUUCGUCUUUGUUGUGUAGUGCUAAAUAUUGUUGAAUAUAAGAUUAAAAUGUCCCAUUUCAAAUAUAGGUAUACUCAUAUAUACUACUAGGAUAAUAUUUGGAUUUCCACAAAUUAUGGAUAAAGAAUUGGUGCGUCUUAACAGGUAAUUUGUACUUUGUCAUAUAAUUUACAUACUUUAUAUUUUAAGAUAAUAUCUUAGAACAUUGUCUUUUAAAAUUGUUAGGGCCUCACAGGAGUAUAUAAAAGCUUCAGAAAAUUUAGUCAUUACUGCUCAUCGUAAUUUAGGCAAACCAGAUAAAAUUUUAUGUCCUUGUAAAGGUUGUCAAAACUUAAGACAUCAAUAUGUAAAUAUCGUUCACGAGCAUCUGGUCACAAGAGAAAUCGAUCCGACUUACACAAAUUGGUUUCACCAUGGAGAAAGACUGAUUAGUAAUGUUGAUACUAUAAGUAAGAUUGAAAUACUCAACUUGUUUGAAGCAACACAUACGAAUGAAGAACAUAACAAGGAAGUUUUUGAAGAGAAUUUGGAUGAUGACAUUAGUCGAUUGGUAAUGGAUGCUGAAACUCCGUUGUAUCUAGGAAAUGAAAAAUACACGAAGCUAUCUUCAAUUGUGACCUUAUAUAAGCUUAAAACUACUAGUGGUUGGUCAGAUAAUAGCUUUACAGAACUUCUAAAUACAUUACAUGAUAUGUUACCUGAAGGUAAUGUAAUUCCUACAUCCACACUAUGUGUAAGAAAAUUUCUUAAGACAUUUGAUUUCGGAUAUGAGAAGAUUUAUGCAUGUAUCAAUGAUUGUUGUUUGUUUAGAAACAAUAAAAAUGAACUAGAUAGCUGUCCAAAAUGUGGUUCUUCGAGAUGGAAGGUCGAUAAGCAUACACGAAAGAAUAAAAAUGGUGUACCUGCUAAAGUCUUAAGAUACUUUCCUAUAAAACCUAGAUUCCAGAGGAUGUUUAGUACAUCGAAAAUGGAUGAAUCAUUAAUAUGGCAUUCAACCAAUCAGAGUGUUGAUGGUAAAAUGCGUCAUCCAGUAGAUUCUCCAUCUUGGGCUUUAAUUGAUAACAAGUGGCCAGAAUUUUCAAAUAAUCCACGCAAUCUUAGGCUUGGGCUUGCUACGGAUGGUUUCAAUCCAUUCAACAAUUUUAGCUCUACCUAUAGUUGUUGGCCAGUGAUGUUGGUUAUUUAUAAUCUACCACUAUGGUUAUGUAUGAAAAAAGAAAAUAUCAUGUUGUCAUUAUUAAUUCCAGGGCCUAAACAGCCUAGGAAUGAUAUUGAUAUAUAUUUGCAACCACUUAUAGAUUACUUGAGCGAAUUGUGGAAUAUUGGGAUGAAUGUGUAUAAUGCACACACUAAUGUAGUCUUUAACUUGAAAGCAAUACUUAUGUGGACUAUCAAUGAUUUCUCAGCUCUUGGAAAUUUAGCUGGAUGUAAAAUUAAGGGUAGGACAGGUUGCCCUGUAUGUUCUUAGAAUACUCAUUCACAGUGGUUAAAAUUCAGUAGAAAAUUUGCAUACAUGGGUCAUAGGAGAUUUUUGUCACCAUCUUAUCCGUUAAGGAAAAAGAAAUCUUGGUUUGAUGGACAUGAAGAAAAGGGAAGCAAACCUAAAAUUAUAUCUGCUAGCAACAUUCUGGUUACUCUUAAAGAUUAUGUCAACAAUUUUGGGAAAGCUCAAAAACGAAAAAGAAAGACAGAUGAUGGGAGCAUUCUAACAUGGAAAAAGAGUUCAAUCUUUUUUAACUUACCAUAUUGGGAGGUAAGAUUUUGGCAUUCUCCAACUUUUAUUCAAUUUUUUUUCAAUUAUCUGAAUAUACUUUUUGUAUGAAACUAACAAAAUCCUUUUUCUUUGUUACAUUAUUAGGUGCUACCAUUACGUUAUAAUUUGGAUGUAAUGCACAUUGAGAAAAAUAUAUGUGAAAGCAUUAUUGGUACAUUGUUAGAUAUAAAUGGUAAAAUAAAAGAUGGAUUAAAUGCUCGUAAGGAAUUACAAGACAUGGGAAUUAGGAAGGAGUUACAUCCAGAGGACUGAGGUAAUAGAAUAUACCUUCAUCCUACUCCACAUACGUUGUCAAGGUUAGAGAAACAAACAUUUUGUAAGAGGUUGUUUAACUUGAAAUUACCUUAUGGGUACAGUUCAAAUGUAGCCACUUAUAUAUCAGUAGAUGAAUGCAAAAUUAUUGGCCUCAAGUCACAUGAUUGUCAUGUCCUCAUGCAACAACUUUUGGCUGUAGCAUUAAGAGUAUUACUUCCAAAAUGACCAAGACAUGCAAUUUUUAGACUAUGUACAUUCUUCAAUAGAUUAUGCCAACGUGUUGUUGAUAGGGAGAAAAUAGCAAUAUUAGAAGAUGAAGUAGCUGAAACCUUAUGCAGUCUUGAAAGAUUCUUUCCUCCUGCAUUUUUUGAUAUCAUGAUACAUUUGGUGGUACAUUUGGGAAGAGAAGUACGAUUAUGUGGUCCAGUUCACUAUUGUUGGAUGUAUCCUUUUGAGAGGUGAGAAAUUCACUAUUACUUGGAUAAAUUUACCCACAUAAUUGCAUUCUUAGUACUAAUUUGUUUACUUUGUUUAAUUAUAGACAUAUGAAGAUAUUCAAAGGACAUGUGAGAAAUCGUGCAGAUCCGAAUGUUAUAUAGCUGAAUGUUAUCUUGCAGAUGAGUGCAUGAAUUUUUGUAUCGAGUUUAUGAAACAAGUAAGAGAAAUUGGUCAUCGAGAGGGGCGCAAUCAAGAUUAUGUUACCAAUGAAACUGAGGGACAUCCCAUUUCUGCUCCAAAUUUUAUUACACUAAGUAAUGAAAUGUUAGAGAUAGCACAUCGUUAUGUAUUAUUCAAUACAUCUUAUGUGGAACCUUAUUUGGAGUAAGUCAUCCAUUAUUCAUAUUAAUAAGUGUAGAACAUGUAUAUAAAUCUGUAAUCUCUGAUAACUUGCUUAUUAUUAGAAUGCAUAAAGAGGAGCUCAAGCGAAACAAUAGAAGCCUUGAAAAAAAUGAAAGCUUGCUUUGGAAAAUUCACACGGAGAAAUUUGCAGUUUGGUUAAAGGAAAAGGUUGUACAUAAUGUUAAAAAAUUCUUUUCUUCUCAUUAUGAUACUAUAUAUUUACAUCAUUGAUACAUGUCUAACUUUUUUCGCAGAUUAAUGUAAGUUCCACCAUAAGUGAAAUAUCAAAUGUUCUGAAAUGUUUGGCAUAUGGUCCUAAAAUGCAAGCAGUCUCCUACACUAGAUAUAUUAGCAAAGGACAAUGGUUCCACAUAAAAGAUGUUGAGAAAUUUACACAGACUAGUGGUGUAUCAAUUGAAGCGACAACCAUGUGUAGAGCUAGUGCAAAGGAUAAUGCAAAAUUUUAUGAUGUUGUUGCAUUUUAUAGAGUCAUUAGAGAAAUAAUUUCAUUAGAUUACCACAUAAUGAAGAUUCCACUCUUUAAGUGUGACUGGGCAAAUGUUGGUAAUGGUGUUAAAGUGGAUGAUUGUUUUACACUUGUUAAUUUAUACCAAAGUCAAAAUAAUUUUGUAAAAGAUCCUUUCAUUUUAGCAUUCACAGGCCAAACAAAUGUUUUAUUCAAGAGAAAAUGAUUCCUCUAACUGGUACGUGGUUUUGAAAGCACCACCUCGAGGAUUUCAUGAUCUAGAAAUGUAUGAUGAGAAUGAGGAAGUCAGUGUUAGAAAUAAUGUUUCACUGAACAUUGAUUAUGUGAACGAGGAAAUUAGCUAUGUAAGAGGGGAUUGCGAGAAUACUUUAAUUUGACGAUUGUAAAUUUUAGUUCAGAAAUAAAAAGAUCCUUUUGUAGUUAGUUUUAUUUGUUUUUUCUUGUGCUGCCUUGAAGCAUUGUAAUGUUAAUAUUAUAUUAUUGUUUGUAUUUUUCUGUCGCCUUGCAAUGGUGAGUAUUGUUUAUUCAUUUUUUUAUGUGAUUUUCUAAAAUUUUGACAUAGAAUGCUAAUCAUGAUUUUUAUAUUUUCUUAAAUAGGCUCGAUAUCAUGGUGAAUAUCAAAAAGAAGGUUGUUGAUGAUUCCAAAGCUCCACGUAAAAAGAGAUUAGUACGAAAAAACUACACGCGGACAACUUAAAGUAGCCAACACAUUUCAACAACAUUUUAACUCUCUGGAUGCUCCUACUAGGUCUUUCUACAGCAUGAAUAUGCGUAAGGAUCUCAUGAAAAAUUAUUAUUCACUUGUUGAUUUACCAAAAAACUGUGCAAUGAGAUCCAUCACUAACACAUUUAUAGAUGAGGCAUCACAUGAGGUUACCCCAGAAGAUGAUGUAGACAUGAGUGGUAAUGAAAGCCAAAGAACACAUGUGGAAGAUACGAGUCUAUUGCAACAAAAUGUUAUACAUUCUGAAGGAGAGAUUCAACAAGUCCAAAAGAAGAAGAGAGACCCUACCCAAAUGAAGAAUUUGAAUGAAGUCAUUGCUUCAAUUGAAGUAAAGUUUAAUGAAAUGGGACAUUCGCUAUCUGUCACUUUAUCUCUUUUUCUGGGCCGUCUUGUAAGGGAGACUGUACUGUAUACUCUUGUUGACUGGUAAUACCUUUCAGAUGAUAUGAAACUUGUUAUGUGGAAAGAUAUU
RNAcentral lists this long non-coding RNA (4934 nucleotides) under Olea europaea subsp. europaea. The record is from RNAcentral. Lineage: Eukaryota; Viridiplantae; Streptophyta; Magnoliopsida; Lamiales; Oleaceae.